Molecule: long non-coding RNA, 398 nt
Filed under: Rattus norvegicus (Norway rat)
Lineage: Eukaryota; Metazoa; Chordata; Mammalia; Rodentia; Muridae
Description: long non-coding RNA NONRATT019950
Source: RNAcentral
UAGGGAGAAAUGUCCCCACUGGAGGUCUGAGGGCUAGGGAGAAUGUCCCCACUGGAGGUCUGUGGGCUAGGGAGAAUGUCCCCACUGGAGGCCCAUGGCCUAGGGAGAAUGUUCCCACUGGAGGCCCAUGGCCUAGGGAGAAUGUCCCCACUGGAGGUCUGUGGCCUAGGGAGAAUGUCCCCACUGGAGGCCCUGGGCUAGGGAGAAAUUCUUGUGUUUUUGAGCUUCCCUUCUUCAAAUCACCUCCAGAUUCAAGUGUGAGUUCUGCGAGUUUGUUUGUGAGGACAAGAAAGCACUGUUGAACCACCAGCUGUCCCAUGUUAGCGACAAGCCCUUCAAAUGCAGCUUUUGUCCCUAUCGCACCUUCCGUGAGGACUUCCUGCUGUCUCAUGUGGCUG